GACGAACGCUGGCGGCGUGCUUAACACAUGCAAGUCGAACGGAAAGGCCCUGCUUUUGUGGGGUGCUCGAGUGGCGAACGGGUGAGUAACACGUGAGUAACCUGCCCUUGACUUUGGGAUAACUUCAGGAAACUGGGGCUAAUACCGGAUAGGAGCUCCUGCUGCAUGGUGGGGGUUGGAAAGUUUCGGCGGUUGGGGAUGGACUCGCGGCUUAUCAGCUUGUUGGUGGGGUAGUGGCUUACCAAGGCUUUGACGGGUAGCCGGCCUGAGAGGGUGACCGGCGACAUUGGGACUGAGAGACGGCGCAGACUCCUAGGGGAGGCAGCGGUGGGGAAUAUUACACAAUGGGCGGAAGCCUGAUGCAGAGACGCCGCGUGCGGGAUGACGGCCUUCGGGUUGUGAACCGCUUUCGCAUGUGACGAAGCGUGAGUGACGGUAAUGGGUAAAGAAGCACCGGCUAACUACGUG
This 468-nucleotide ribosomal RNA is filed under the name uncultured bacterium. Its description in RNAcentral is "partial 16S ribosomal RNA". It matches the Rfam family "Bacterial small subunit ribosomal RNA", at positions 28 to 507 of the family's 1533-position model. The record is from RNAcentral.